Odocoileus virginianus texanus is the source of this 608-nucleotide long non-coding RNA. RefSeq lists it as uncharacterized. Lineage: Eukaryota; Metazoa; Chordata; Mammalia; Artiodactyla; Cervidae. The record is from RefSeq and is a predicted model, not a curated record.
GAUGGUCUGAAAUUUCCUGGGACUCUCCUUUCCCUCUUCCCCUCUCGUGUUGGCCAUCAACCUUUCCAGGCCCAGAAGAUUCUGUGUUGGAAUGUUCUAAGUCUGUCUCAUCUGGCUUCCCAACUUCCUAUUUCUUCUGCUCCGGCCGCCCGGCGCCCCUCACCCAAGGAUUAAUCAGUGCUGUCGUCUGCGGUCUUAUCACUCGCUGCUCAGAGCUCAGCAGGAGCUCCUCCUUGCCUCUCAAGUGAUGUCCAGGCUCCUUCUGUGACCUCUGAGAGGCUCUCUGAGGUCAGCCUCACCCAGCCACAUUUCCAGCCUCGGCUCUGAUGACACUCCUGCGCUUCAACCAGACAUGUCUGUCACUUACUGUUUCUGCCCCAACCCCACGUAGCUUCCAGACUCCUGUUCCACUCAAGCUGUUCCUUCUACCAGGGAUGUUCUUACCUCACCAAAUGAGAUGAUGUUUGUCAACGAACUUUGAUGUCAGAUGGCCAACAUAAAAAGAAGAAAAAAACAACAGGAAAUAAGGGGUUGGAGAGAAUGUGGAUACCUUGAAACCCUUGUGCUCUGCUGGUAGUAACGUAAAAUUGUGCAACUGCUGUGGGAAA